AGACAAAGGGGCGCCGGCGGCAUUGCCCACAGACGGGAACGGGGCAACGGGCGCCCAGUCGUCGGACUUCCUCGCAUCAGCAACCACCACCCUACAAACAUCGUUACUCGGGGCGCAGAUGGCAACGGCGGGGACACUGUUUCCCCGUCGCCGCCUGCGCUCUACCCUGCGCUUCACGGCCUCCUCUGUGAGGUCGACACGCGCAUGAAAUCCUGUCCGUGACGCUGUCGCCCGCCCUCGUUCCUCUUUUUUUGUCGAGUUGUUGUUGCGCGCGGGUUUGCGGUCUCUUUUUCGACCUUUUUGCGCCGCACUCUGAUGGG
RNAcentral lists this long non-coding RNA (320 nucleotides) under Pandoravirus dulcis. Its description in RNAcentral is "putative ncRNA". The record is from RNAcentral.